This 506-nucleotide ribosomal RNA is filed under the name uncultured bacterium. Its description in RNAcentral is "partial 16S ribosomal RNA". It matches the Rfam family "Bacterial small subunit ribosomal RNA", at positions 29 to 523 of the family's 1533-position model. The record is from RNAcentral.
AGUGAACGCUGGCGGUAGGCCUAACACAUGCAAGUCGAACGGCAGCACAGGAGAGCUUGCUCUCUGGGUGGCGAGUGGCGGACGGGUGAGGAAUACAUCGGAAUCUACUCUGUCGUGGGGGAUAACGUAGGGAAACUUACGCUAAUACCGCAUACGACCUACGGGUGAAAGCAGGGGACCUUCGGGCCUUGCGCGAUUGAAUGAGCCGAUGUCGGAUUAGCUAGUUGGCGGGGUAAAGGCCCACCAAGGCGACGAUCCGUAGCUGGUCUGCGAGAAUGAUCAGCCACACUGGAACUGAGACACGGGCCAGACUCCUGCGGGAGGCAGCAGUGGGGAAUAUUGGACAAUGGGCGCAAGCCUGAUCCAGCCAUACCGCGUGGGUGAAGAAGGCCUUCGGGUUGUAAAGCCCUUUUGUUGGGAAAGAAAUCCAGCUGGCUAAUACCCGGUUGGGAUGACGGUACCCAAAGAAUAAGCACCGGCUAACUUCGUGCCAGCCGCCGCAGUAA